AAGGGAAGAUGGUGACCAC
RNAcentral lists this microRNA (19 nucleotides) under Homo sapiens (human). RNAcentral describes it as "hsa-miR-9500". Lineage: Eukaryota; Metazoa; Chordata; Mammalia; Primates; Hominidae. The record is from miRBase by way of RNAcentral.